AGUGAACGCUGGCGGUAGGCCUAACACAUGCAAGUCGAACGGCAGCACAGUAAGCGCUUGCUCUUACGGGUGGCGAGUGGCGGACGGGUGAGGAAUACAUCGGAAUCUACUUUUUCGUGGGGGAUAACGUAGGGAAACUUACGCUAAUACCGCAUACGACCUACGGGUGAAAGCAGGGGAUCUUCGGACCUUGCGCGAUUGAAUGAGCCGAUGUCGGAUUAGCUAGUUGGCUGGGUAAAGGCCCACCAAGGCAACGAUACGUAGCUGGUCUGAGAGGAUGAUCAGCCACACUGGAACUGAGACACGGUCCAGACUCCUACGGGAGGCAGCAGUGGGGAAUAUUGGACAAUGGGCGCAAGCCUGAUCCAGCCAUACCGCGUGGGUGAAGAAGGCCUUCGGGUUGUAAAGCCCUUUUGUUGGGAAAGAAAAGCAGCAGGUUAAUACCCCGCUGUUCUGACGGUACCCAAAGAAUAAGCACCGGCUAACUUCGUG
This 492-nucleotide ribosomal RNA is filed under the name uncultured bacterium. RNAcentral describes it as "partial 16S ribosomal RNA". It matches the Rfam family "Bacterial small subunit ribosomal RNA", at positions 29 to 507 of the family's 1533-position model. The record is from RNAcentral.